This 31-nucleotide non-coding RNA is filed under the name Rattus norvegicus (Norway rat). The record is from RNAcentral. Lineage: Eukaryota; Metazoa; Chordata; Mammalia; Rodentia; Muridae.
UGUGCGUUAAUGCAGACAAUGUUUUGGCGUU